This 118-nucleotide ribosomal RNA is filed under the name Salmo salar (Atlantic salmon). Lineage: Eukaryota; Metazoa; Chordata; Actinopteri; Salmoniformes; Salmonidae. The record is from RNAcentral.
GCCACGGCCAUACCAGCCUGGGUACGCCCGAUCUCGUCUGAUCUCGGAAGCUAAGCAAGGUCGGGCCUGGUUAGUACUUGGAUGGGAGACCACCUGGGAAUACCAAGUGCUGUAAGCA